Long non-coding RNA from Chinchilla lanigera (long-tailed chinchilla), 575 nucleotides. RefSeq lists it as uncharacterized. The transcript is spliced from 3 exons. NCBI's taxonomy places the organism in Eukaryota, Metazoa, Chordata, Mammalia, Rodentia, Chinchillidae. The record is from RefSeq and is a predicted model, not a curated record.
GCGCACGGGCGGCCUCUCCCAAGGGCGGCGGAAGCGGAACAGCCGAGGGCGGUUUACGGGAGGUGGAGCCGCGAGUCACCGCUGUGCGGGCGUCCAGGGGUCCCGCCCAGACGGCCGGACGUCUGGGCCCAGGGAAGGGGACGAGGCCACCAGGCUAUGAGAAAGAAGGCCGAAGCCACCCAUAAACUUGGAGCGCGUGGAUUUGGAGGAGGCAGAGCCCGGUGCCCUUGGCCCCCGCAGGAGGCGGCAGAGGAAAUGAGCUCACGCUGACCGGCAGGCUGUCCUCCCCCACAGUGCGCGGCACACCUCCCCCACUUCCCAGAAAGCGGCCCCCCACCCUCCGCCCUCCACCUCUUCCUGCGCCUUCGCUGCCCCCCUGCCCGCUCACCGUCCACCUUCUCCAGCCCCUCCUUCCUGCCACUGCUGCCCCGCUCCCAAUGCCCACCCCCUAUAUCCUGCUGUCACCCCAAAACUGCUUCACCCCUGUGUGUUCUUUCCCUGGGGCUUGGGGCUGAGAGCCGGGCUUGGAGGGGAUGUAUCCUGUCCCGGCCCCUAGCCUGGUCACCUGCCUUCAU